GACGAACGCUGGCGGCGCGCUUAACACAUGCAAGUCGAGCGAGAACCAGGCCUUCGGGCCUGGGGAAAGCGGCGAACGGGUGAGUAACACGUGGGUAACCCACCCUUGGUACCGGGAUAGCCCGGGGAAACCCGGAUUAAUACCGGAUGGCCCAGCAGCUCUUCGGGGCGGUUGGAAAAGGUAGCUUCGGCCUCCGACCAAGGACGGGCCCGCGGCGGAUUAGCUUGUUGGCGGGGUAACGGCCCACCAAGGCGACGAUCCGUAGCNGGUCUGAGAGGACGAUCAGCCACACUGGGACUGAGACACGGCCCAGACUCCUACGGGAGGCAGCAGCGGGGAAUCUUGCGCAAUGGGCGAAAGCCUGACGCAGCGACGCCGCGUGAGGGAUGACGGCCUU
Molecule: ribosomal RNA, 397 nt
Filed under: uncultured bacterium
Lineage: Bacteria
Description: bacterial SSU rRNA
Rfam family: Bacterial small subunit ribosomal RNA
Source: RNAcentral